Molecule: ribosomal RNA, 482 nt
Filed under: uncultured bacterium
Lineage: Bacteria
Description: partial 16S ribosomal RNA
Rfam family: Bacterial small subunit ribosomal RNA
Source: RNAcentral
AUUGAACGCUGGCGGCAUGCUUUACACAUGCAAGUCGAACGGUAACAGGCCGCAAGGUGCUGACGAGUGGCGAACGGGUGAGUAAUGCAUCGGAACGUGCCCAGUCGUGGGGGAUAACUACUCGAAAGAGUAGCUAAUACCGCAUACGAUCUAUGGAUGAAAGCGGGGGACCGUAAGGCCUCGCGCGAUUGGAGCGGCCGAUGUCAGAUUAGGUAGUUGGUGGGGUAAAGGCUCACCAAGCCAACGAUCUGUAGCUGGUCUGAGAGGACAACCAGCCACACUGGGACUGAGACACGGCCCAGACUCCUACGGGAGGCAGCAGUGGGGAAUUUUGGACAAAGGGCGCAAGCCCGAUCCAGCAAUGCCGCGUGCAGGAAGAAGGCCUUCGGGUUGUAAACUGCUUUUGUACGGAACGAAACGGCUCUGGUUAAUACCCGGGGCUAAUGACGGUACCGUAAGAAUAAGCACCGGCUAACUACGUG